Molecule: non-coding RNA, 26 nt
Filed under: Homo sapiens (human)
Lineage: Eukaryota; Metazoa; Chordata; Mammalia; Primates; Hominidae
Source: RNAcentral
UGGGCUUGUGCGAAUGGGUACAGAGA